This 409-nucleotide ribosomal RNA is filed under the name uncultured soil bacterium. RNAcentral's name for it is "bacterial SSU rRNA". It matches the Rfam family "Bacterial small subunit ribosomal RNA", at positions 26 to 486 of the family's 1533-position model. The record is from RNAcentral.
AGAACGAACGCUGGCGGCAUGCCUAAUACAUGCAAGUCGAACGAACUCUUCGGAGUUAGUGGCGCACGGGUGCGUAACGCGUGGGAAUCUGCCCCUUGGUUCGGAAUAACAGUUGGAAACGACUGCUAAUACCGGAUGAUGACGAAAGUCCAAAGAUUUAUCGCCAAGGGAUGAGCCCGCGUAGGAUUAGCUAGUUGGUGAGGUAAAGGCUCACCAAGGCAACGAUCCUUAGCUGGUCUGAGAGGAUGAUCAGCCACACUGGGACUGAGACACGGCCCAGACUCCUACGGGAGCAGCAGUAGGGAAUAUUGGACAAUGGGCGAAAGCCUGAUCCAGCAAUGCCGCGUGAGUGAUGAAGCCUUAGGUGUAAAGCUCUUUACCCGAGAUCGAUAAUGACAGUAUCGGAGAA